RNAcentral lists this ribosomal RNA (253 nucleotides) under uncultured bacterium. RNAcentral describes it as "partial 16S ribosomal RNA". It matches the Rfam family "Bacterial small subunit ribosomal RNA", at positions 524 to 776 of the family's 1533-position model. The record is from RNAcentral.
GACGUAGGGCGCGAGCGUUGUCCGGAUUUAUUGGGCGUAAAGAGCUCGUAGGCGGCUCGUUGCGUCGGCUGUGAAAACCCGCAGCUCAACUGUGGGCUUGCAGCCGAUACGGGCGGGCUGGAGUUCGGUAGGGGAGACUGGAAUUCCUGGUGGAGCGGUGAAAUGCGCAGAUAUCAGGAGGAACACCGGUGGCGAAGGCGGGUCUCUGGGCCGAUACUGACGCUGAGGAGCGAAAGCGUGGGGAGCGAACAGG